AGUGAACGCUGGCGGUAGGCCUAACACAUGCAAGUCGAACGGCAGCACAGUAAGAGCUUGCUCUUACGGGUGGCGAGUGGCGGACGGGUGAGGAAUACAUCGGAAUCUACUUUUUCGUGGGGGAUAACGUAGGGAAACUUACGUUAAUACCGCAUAUGACCUACGGGUGAAAGCAGGGGAUCUUCGGACCUUGCGCGAUUGAAUGAGCCGAUGUCGGAUUAGCUAGUUGGCGGGGUAAAGGCCCACCAAGGCGACGAUCCGUAGCUGGUCUGAGAGGAUGAUCAGCCACACUGGAACUGAGACACGGUCCAGACUCCUACGGGAGGCAGCAGUGGGGAAUAUUGGACAAUGGGCGCAAGCCUGAUCCAGCCAUACCGCGUGGGUGAAGAAGGCCUUCGGGUUGUAAAGCCCUUUUGUCGGGAAAGAAAAGCAGCAGGUUAAUACCCCGCUGUUCUGACGGUACCCAAAGAAUAAGCACCGGCUAACUUCGUG
Molecule: ribosomal RNA, 492 nt
Filed under: uncultured bacterium
Lineage: Bacteria
Description: partial 16S ribosomal RNA
Rfam family: Bacterial small subunit ribosomal RNA
Source: RNAcentral